GAGCUGUUUGAUUUCUUGAUCAUAGUCCUGCCACUCUGGAACGAUACGCAUUGCUGCCUGCAGCUUGGGCUCUUUGGUCAUUGGGUUAUUACACAGAUCAAUGGUUUUUGCUCUCUUCUUUGAGGAAUCAUCACACCACGUUUCACACCAAAGCCACUCCUGUGGCAGCGAUUUGAUUGGCACCUGGUGGAUCAUGUUGUUGGGCAAAUCCUGCAGUGAAGAAUGAGACUGAGCAGCAGUUUCCAUGGUGCAGGGCAGGUGGUGAACAGUUGUCCCACCACACAGCACUGAGAAGUUUUGUAACUUCUGAAAAUAGAGGGUUUUUUUCCCCAGAGCAAAUGAAUGGC
RNAcentral lists this long non-coding RNA (347 nucleotides) under Gallus gallus (chicken). Lineage: Eukaryota; Metazoa; Chordata; Aves; Galliformes; Phasianidae. The record is from RNAcentral.